GGGGAAUUUUGGACAAUGGGCGCAAGCCUGAUCCAGCAAUGCCGCGUGCAGGAUGAAGGCCUUCGGGUUGUAAACUGCUUUUGUACGGAACGAAAAAGCUCUCUCUAAUACAGGGGGUGAAUGACGGUACCGUAAGAAUAAGCACCGGCUAACUACGUGCCAGCAGCCGCGGUAAUACGUAGGGUGCAAGCGUUAAUCGGAAUUACUGGGCGUAAAGCGUGCGCAGGCGGUUUUGUAAGACAGAGGUGAAAUCCCCGGGCUCAACCUGGGAACUGCCUUUGUGACUGCAAAGCUGGAGUGCGGCAGAGGGGGAUGGAAUUCCGCGUGUAGCAGUGAAAUGCGUAGAUAUGCGGAGGAACACCGAUGGCGAAGGCAAUCCCCUGGGCCUGCACUGACGCUCAUGCACGAAAGCGUGGGGAGCAAACA
Molecule: ribosomal RNA, 426 nt
Filed under: uncultured bacterium
Lineage: Bacteria
Description: bacterial SSU rRNA
Rfam family: Bacterial small subunit ribosomal RNA
Source: RNAcentral